AUUGAACGCUGGCGGCAGGCCUAACACAUGCAAGUCGAACGGUAACAGAAAGCAGCUUGCUGCUUUGCUGACGAGUGGCGGACGGGUGAGUAAUGUCUGGGAAACUGCCUGAUGGAGGGGGAUAACUACUGGAAACGGUAGCUAAUACCGCAUAACGUCGCAAGACCAAAGAGGGGGACCUUCGGGCCUCUUGCCAUCGGAUGUGCCCAGAUGGGAUUAGCUAGUAGGUGGGGUAAAGGCUCACCUAGGCGACGAUCCCUAGCUGGUCUGAGAGGAUGACCAGCCACACUGGAACUGAGACACGGUCCAGACUCCUACGGGAGGCAGCAGUGGGGAAUAUUGCACAAUGGGCGCAAGCCUGAUGCAGCCAUGCCGCGUGUAUGAAGAAGGCCUUCGGGUUGUAAAGUACUUUCAGCGGGGAGGAAGGGAGUAAAGUUAAUACCUUGGCUCAUUGACGUUACCCGCAGAAGAAGCACCGGCUAACUCCGUG
RNAcentral lists this ribosomal RNA (490 nucleotides) under uncultured bacterium. RNAcentral describes it as "partial 16S ribosomal RNA". It matches the Rfam family "Bacterial small subunit ribosomal RNA", at positions 30 to 507 of the family's 1533-position model. The record is from RNAcentral.